AGUGAACGCUGGCGGUAGGCCUAACACAUGCAAGUCGAACGGCAGCACAGUAAGAGCUUGCUCUUACGGGUGGCGAGUGGCGGACGGGUGAGGAAUACAUCGGAAUCUACUUUUUCGUGGGGGAUAACGUAGGGAAACUUACGCUAAUACCGCAUACGACCUACGGGUGAAAGCAGGGGAUCUUCGGACCUUGCGCGAUCGAAUGAGCCGAUGUCGGAUUAGCUAGUUGGCGGGGUAAAGGCCCACCAAGGCGACGAUCCGUAGCUGGUCUGAGAGGAUGACCAGCCAAACGGGAAAUGGGACACGGGCCAGACCCCUACGGGAGGCAGGAGUGGGGAAUAUUGGAAAAGGGGGGCAAGCCUGAUCCAGCCAUACCGGGGGGGGGAAGAAGGCCUUCGGGUUGUAAAGCCCUUUUGUUGGGAAAGAAAAGCAGCAGGUUAAAACCCCGCUGUUUUGACGGUACCCAAAGAAAAAGCACCGGAAAACUGCGG
Molecule: ribosomal RNA, 491 nt
Filed under: uncultured bacterium
Lineage: Bacteria
Description: partial 16S ribosomal RNA
Rfam family: Bacterial small subunit ribosomal RNA
Source: RNAcentral